UGUUGUCAACACGUGUGCAGGCUUUGUGGGGGCCUUUUUUCUGUUGCUAGUCAAGGAGUAGCUCUUGGUGUUUGUCCCAUGCUUGCUACAGGUUCUUAAUAUGCCUAUUUGAUGAAAUAAAAUGCCUUUCUUACAUGUUUUCUUCUACUUACGGAUGUGGUAACGUCUUCUGAAUUCCACCCUACUCAGUGGCACUUGAACUUAUAUUAGGAGUAAAUAAAUAUUCAACAACUAUUGGCAGGUGGUCAUUGGGCUGUAGAAUGGCUGAACUGCAAAGGAACAAUUAUUCAAUGGGAAAACUGAAUUCGACCAGCUUGACAAGAUAUUUAGGACUCUCGGCACACCAAGUGAGAAGAUAUGGCUGGAAUUUGUCAAAUUGUCGGGUGUCAAGGUCAA
Molecule: long non-coding RNA, 396 nt
Organism: Magnolia sinica
Lineage: Eukaryota; Viridiplantae; Streptophyta; Magnoliopsida; Magnoliales; Magnoliaceae
Exons: 3
Source: RefSeq, a predicted model, not a curated record